Monodelphis domestica (gray short-tailed opossum) is the source of this 59-nucleotide microRNA precursor. NCBI's taxonomy places the organism in Eukaryota, Metazoa, Chordata, Mammalia, Didelphimorphia, Didelphidae. The record is from Ensembl.
GUGGGACAUCUUCCAUGGAACUGGAUAUGCACUAUAGCCCCUUAGGAGAUGUCCCAGUC